UCUGCACCCAAGGGCACAGGGAACUGGACAGAGCUCACAGGGAUGUGGGGCUGAGCUGUGGAGGGGCUUUUUAAGAGUCUCAGGGAAUUAGAGAAUUCCCCUCACCUUAAUUCAAAAUUAGCCAGAGAGAUCAGAGCAGAGCAGCCCUCAGAGAUUGCACUCACAGACAUCACCCUGGUGGCAAGCAGAGUUCUUUUUGUUCAUCCAGUGCUUCUGCUCAAAGAGAAAAUUCAGGUGCUAACACUUUUGGGACCUCUUUGCAGAAGCUGAGCUGAUGGCAUCAGGCUUGUGCCACAUGCUGGAAAAAGGCAGGAAACUGCACUUAGCCCUGAGCCUUGUGGGUUGCUGAUUCAGAGGAGAAACAGGUUCUGGGCAGUGGCACUACAUGCUCCUUUAUGAAGAGCUCUCUCUAGUCCUCAUUCCUCACAAAACAUUACGAGGCAGGGAUGAUGUGGACAGAUUUUGGAGGUUUUUAUCUGCUCCAGACCCUUUGUGAG
Long non-coding RNA from Passer domesticus (house sparrow), 497 nucleotides. RefSeq lists it as uncharacterized. Lineage: Eukaryota; Metazoa; Chordata; Aves; Passeriformes; Passeridae. The transcript has 3 exons. The record is from RefSeq and is a predicted model, not a curated record.